RNAcentral lists this ribosomal RNA (446 nucleotides) under uncultured bacterium. RNAcentral's name for it is "partial 16S ribosomal RNA". It matches the Rfam family "Bacterial small subunit ribosomal RNA", at positions 338 to 795 of the family's 1533-position model. The record is from RNAcentral.
CCUACGGGAGGCAGCAGUCGAGAAUCUUUCACAAUGGGGGAAACCCUGAUGGUGCGACGCCGCGUGGGGGAAUGAAGGUCUUCGUAUUGUAAACCCCUGUCAUGUGGGAGCAAAUUAAAACGCGAGUACCCCAAGAGGAAGAGACGGCUAACUCUGUGCCAGCAGCCGCGUUAAUACAGAGGUCUCAAGCGUUGUUCGGAAUCACUGGGCGUAAAGCGUGCGUAGGAUGGUUCGUAAGGCGUGUGUGAAAGGCGCGGGCUCAACCCGCGGACGGCACAUGAUACUGCGAGACUAGAGUAAUGGAGGGGGAACCGGAAUUCGCGGUGUAGCAGUGAAAUGCGUAGAUAUCGAGAGGAACACUGGUGGCGAAGGCGGGUUCCUGGACAUUAACUGACGCUGAGGCACGAAGGCCAGGGGAGCGAAAGGGAUUAGAUACCCGUGUAGUC